This 368-nucleotide unclassified non-coding RNA is filed under the name uncultured Ceratobasidiaceae. RNAcentral's name for it is "sequence contains ITS1". The stretch from base 1 to 105 matches the Rfam family "5.8S ribosomal RNA", at positions 50 to 154 of the family's 154-position model. The record is from RNAcentral. Lineage: Eukaryota; Fungi; Basidiomycota; Agaricomycetes; Cantharellales; Ceratobasidiaceae.
GAAAUGCGAUAAGUAAUGUGAAUUGCAGAAUUCAGUGAAUCAUCGAAUCUUUGAACGCACCUUGCGCUCCUUGGUAUUCCUCGGAGCAUGCCUGUUUGAGUAUCAUGAAAUUCUCAAAAUAAAUCUUUUGUUCAUUCAAUUGGUUUCAUUUUGGACUUGGGGGUCUGCAGAUUCACGUCUGCUCCUCUUAAAUUCAUUAGCUGGAUCUCUAUAGACUUGGUUCCACUCGGCGUGAUAAGUAUCACUCGCUGAGGACACUGUAAAAGGUGGCCAGGAUUGUGGAAGAACUGCUUCUAAUAGUCCAUUCACUUGGACAAUAUACUUUAUGAUCUGAUCUCAAAUCAGGUAGGACUACCCGCUGAACUUAA